RNAcentral lists this ribosomal RNA (253 nucleotides) under uncultured bacterium. Its description in RNAcentral is "partial 16S ribosomal RNA". It matches the Rfam family "Bacterial small subunit ribosomal RNA", at positions 524 to 776 of the family's 1533-position model. The record is from RNAcentral.
UACGAAGGGGGCUAGCGUUGUUCGGAAUUACUGGGCGUAAAGCGCACGUAGGCGGCUACUUAAGUCAGGGGUGAAAUCCCGGGGCUCAACCCCGGAACUGCCUUUGAUACUGGGUAUCUCGAGUCCGGAAGAGGUGAGUGGAAUUCCGAGUGUAGAGGUGAAAUUCGUAGAUAUUCGGAAGAACACCAGUGGCGAAGGCGACUUACUGGACACAUAUUGACGCUGAGGUGCGAAAGCGUGGGGAGCAAACAGG